CUCAAACAAUCCUCCUGCCUUGGCCUCCCAAAGUGCUGGAAAAGUAUGUUUAAGUCACCACAUCCAGCUGAUAGUUCUAAUUUUUUAUACUGAAAUCAGACUUACAGCAAUGAAAUAAAUCCCAAUAACCUUUAUUUAGUCAUUCAUUCCAAUCUCCUCAGCACCUUGGCCAGGGCUGCUGAUGAAAGCUAAUUGGGCCUCAAAGUAUCAAAUGGUCUCUCCCGCCUUACUCUGUUAUCAUUCCACAAUCACAAAAAGACAGCCUAUUCAUGCUCCUUCCUUUAGCACAGUGAUUUUACCUGUCUGCGUCACUAGGAACAUGCCCACGUAUCACAAUCAAAGUUCCAGGAUCCAGCUGAUCAGGAAUGGUGCCAACAAACGGGAUUACCUAAGAAAAAAAAUUUAACAAAUGUACGUUUACAUAAACAAAAUUACUUACUAAGCAAUUACAACCCACACUCAUUAUUGAUAGAGAAAAACUACACUUUUUAAGGCUGCACAUAAAUCUGCUCAGAAUCCAGCAUUUUCCAAGUCAUCUUUCCUAUUCAAACAGCUAGAAAAAGGAACUGCGGCCGGGCGCGGUGGCUCACGCCUGUAAUCCCAGCACUUUGGGAGGCCGAGGCGGGAGGAUCACGAGGUCAGCAGAUCGAGACCAUCCUGGCUAACACGGUGAAACCCCGUCUCUACUAAAAAUACAAAAAUUAGCCGGGUGUGGUGGUGGGCGCCUGUAGUCCCAGCUACUCGGGAGGCUGAGGCAGGAGAAUGGCACGAACCUGGGAGGCGGAGCUUGCAGUGAGCCGAGAUCGCGCCACUAUGCUCCAGCCUGGGCGACAGAGCAAGGCUCCGUCUCAAAAAAAAAAAAAGGAACUGCAUACCUCAUGGCCAGGAUAUCUGCAAUAGCUGCAAACCACUAUGAGUUCUUUGGAAAGAGACACAAGAAGGUUCGAGGCCACACUAGGCCCAAAGCCAAUGCUGACGGAGACAAUGACAAGCACUCACUGCCUCUGAAGGAAACUCCACGUUAAGCCACGCCCCCACACCUGGGAUUCCAGGGCCUGCUCUUCUCUGCUGGACUCCCAGACUGCAACCCAGACUGCACUGUUAGAAACCAGAGAACUGCAUGAUCAUGAGGAUGAGUGGGUGCCUGUGGGUCUUCAAGACAUGGCAUCCACCUGCCGUGGACCAGUCCAGUCUGCAGGCGUGGACUCUGACAGCUGGCUCCACCCAGUAUUCAGGUCUCAACCUGCACCCUCACUGCCCAGAACCCAGCCCUUUUUUUCUGGGACCUGCCACACUGCCAGAUCUUGUCAUUCCCCUUCCCCAGAGAUGACUACACUGUCUUCCCAGUCCACUGGCUGGGGACCUGUGCUAUGUGGCUGCCUCUCCUGCAUCACAACCAUCUGCCUCCAUCUAGAGCAUCUGACCAGGAUGUACAGCCCACACACCGUUAAGCCUCACACUAAGCUCACUCAAAUUACGAUGUGCAUGGUAAAACCUACCCAAGGUACUUCUGAUUGUCAAGAAAUAAGAAAUAAAAUAAGACGGGCCACAGAAAAGUGGUUAUAAAUUGGUGGCUCCUAAACCGAAAUCGCCUUGAGGCACAGCCUCCUCUGUGGAGCCUUCUUCAAGCUCCCUGGGCUGCUGAGUCAGCCCCUCUCAGAGGGUUCAUGAUAGCACUUUGGAUUCUGUUUGUUUGCAUGUAGCUUUGCCUAGACUGUGAGCUGCAUGGGGCAGAACUGGCUCAUCACCUUUACCUCCCCAGGACACAGGUCAAGAGACGAUCGGUAACUGCAUGGUGAAUGAAUGAACUCUCACCUGUCUGGAAAGUGGGCUCUGGCAGGCCUCACACAUACAGAGGAGAGGCAACAAAGCAGCUGCUGAACCGCAAGCUGAGCCCACAAGCUCUCUGUUGCCUUAGGCAAUAAGAUGAGAAAUUACGGAAGCCAAUUAUCUAUUUGUUGUCAUGGCAAUUGCUAGGAGCAGGGUGGGAGGCACAUGACACCAGAAAACAAAAAAUACAACAGACAGUGUAGACUGGGGCUACAGCUGCACAUCAGAGUAUCUGAUUUUGUGUGUAGAGAAUGGGGAAGGACCUACAUCCCUACAUUGAUCUUUUGGGUCACAGCUGGUUCCAAGAAUAUAUAGCAGCAGGUUUCAUAGCGUUAAUCUCUUAAUAAAAUGAGAAGUUUUUAUAACAUCAAA
RNAcentral lists this long non-coding RNA (2202 nucleotides) under Homo sapiens (human). RNAcentral describes it as "HSALNT0299286". Lineage: Eukaryota; Metazoa; Chordata; Mammalia; Primates; Hominidae. The record is from RNAcentral.